Molecule: ribosomal RNA, 2927 nt
Filed under: Klebsiella oxytoca
Lineage: Bacteria; Pseudomonadati; Pseudomonadota; Gammaproteobacteria; Enterobacterales; Enterobacteriaceae
Description: 23S ribosomal RNA
Rfam family: Bacterial large subunit ribosomal RNA
Source: RNAcentral
GGGUUGUGAGGUUAAGCGACUAAGCGUACACGGUGGAUGCCCUGGCAGUCAGAGGCGAUGAAGGACGUGCUAAUCUGCGAAAAGCGUCGGUAAGGUGAUAUGAACCGUUACAGCCGGCGAUGUCCGAAUGGGGAAACCCAGUGCAAUUCGUUGCACUAUCGUUAACUGAAUACAUAGGUUAACGAGGCGAACCGGGGGAACUGAAACAUCUAAGUACCCCGAGGAAAAGAAAUCAACCGAGAUUCCCCCAGUAGCGGCGAGCGAACGGGGAGCAGCCCGGAGUCUGAAUCAGCUUGUGUGUUAGUGGAAGCGUCUGGAAAGUCGCAGGGUACAGGGUGAUACUCCCGUACACUAAAACACACAGGCUGUGAACUCGAAGAGUAGGGCGGGACACGUGGUAUCCUGUCUGAAUAUGGGGGGACCAUCCUCCAAGGCUAAAUACUCCUGACUGACCGAUAGUGAACCAGUACCGUGAGGGAAAGGCGAAAAGAACCCCGGCGAGGGGAGUGAAAAAGAACCUGAAACCGUGUACGUACAAGCAGUAGGAGCCCACUAGUUGGGUGACUGCGUACCUUUUGUAUAAUGGGUCAGCGACUUAUAUUCUGUAGCAAGGUUAACCGUAUAGGGGAGCCGCAGGGAAACCGAGUCUUAACUGGGCGUUAAGUUGCAGGGUAUAGACCCGAAACCCGGUGAUCUAGCCAUGGGCAGGUUGAAGGUUGGGUAACACUAACUGGAGGACCGAACCGACUAAUGUUGAAAAAUUAGCGGAUGACUUGUGGCUGGGGGUGAAAGGCCAAUCAAACCGGGAGAUAGCUGGUUCUCCCCGAAAGCUAUUUAGGUAGCGCCUCGUGAAUUCAUCUUCGGGGGUAGAGCACUGUUUCGGCUAGGGGGUCAUCCCGACUUACCAACCCGAUGCAAACUACGAAUACCGAAGAAUGUUAUCACGGGAGACACACGGCGGGUGCUAACGUCCGUCGUGAAGAGGGAAACAACCCAGACCGCCAGCUAAGGUCCCAAAGUCAUGGUUAAGUGGGAAACGAUGUGGGAAGGCCCAGACAGCCAGGAUGUUGGCUUAGAAGCAGCCAUCAUUUAAAGAAAGCGUAAUAGCUCACUGGUCGAGUCGGCCUGCGCGGAAGAUGUAACGGGGCUAAACCAUGCACCGAAGCUGCGGCAGCGACACUAUGUGUUGUUGGGUAGGGGAGCGUUCUGUAAGCCGUUGAAGGUGGCCUGUGAGGGUUGCUGGAGGUAUCAGAAGUGCGAAUGCUGACAUAAGUAACGAUAAUGCGGGUGAAAAACCCGCACGCCGGAAGACCAAGGGUUCCUGUCCAACGUUAAUCGGGGCAGGGUGAGUCGACCCCUAAGGCGAGGCCGAAAGGCGUAGUCGAUGGGAAACAGGUUAAUAUUCCUGUACUUGGUGUUACUGCGAAGGGGGGACGGAGAAGGCUAUGUUGGCCGGGCGACGGUUGUCCCGGUUUAAGCAUGUAGGCGGAUGUUCCAGGUAAAUCCGGAGCGUCACUAACGCUGAGGUGUGAUGACGAGGCACUACGGUGCUGAAGUGACAAAUGCCCUGCUUCCAGGAAAAGCCUCUAAGCAUCAGGUAACAUCAAAUCGUACCCCAAACCGACACAGGUGGUCAGGUAGAGAAUACCAAGGCGCUUGAGAGAACUCGGGUGAAGGAACUAGGCAAAAUGGUGCCGUAACUUCGGGAGAAGGCACGCUGAUGGUAGGUGAAGUGACUUGCUCAUGGAGCUGAAAUCAGUCGAAGAUACCAGCUGGCUGCAACUGUUUAUUAAAAACACAGCACUGUGCAAACACGAAAGUGGACGUAUACGGUGUGACGCCUGCCCGGUGCCGGAAGGUUAAUUGAUGGGGUUAUCCUCGCGGAGAAGCUCUUGAUCGAAGCCCCGGUAAACGGCGGCCGUAACUAUAACGGUCCUAAGGUAGCGAAAUUCCUUGUCGGGUAAGUUCCGACCUGCACGAAUGGCGUAAUGAUGGCCAGGCUGUCUCCACCCGAGACUCAGUGAAAUUGAACUCGCUGUGAAGAUGCAGUGUACCCGCGGCAAGACGGAAAGACCCCGUGAACCUUUACUAUAGCUUGACACUGAACACUGGUCCUUGAUGUGUAGGAUAGGUGGGAGGCUUUGAAGUGUGGACGCCAGUCUGCAUGGAGCCAUCCUUGAAAUACCACCCUUUAAUGGCUGGUGUUCUAACGUGGGCCCGUGAUCCGGGUUGCGGACAGUGUCUGGUGGGUAGUUUGACUGGGGCGGUCUCCUCCUAAAGAGUAACGGAGGAGCACGAAGGUCAGCUAAUCCUGGUCGGACAUCAGGAGGUUAGUGCAAUGGCAUAAGCUGGCUUGACUGCGAGCGUGACGGCGCGAGCAGGUGCGAAAGCAGGUCAUAGUGAUCCGGUGGUUCUGAAUGGAAGGGCCAUCGCUCAACGGAUAAAAGGUACUCCGGGGAUAACAGGCUGAUACCGCCCAAGAGUUCAUAUCGACGGCGGUGUUUGGCACCUCGAUGUCGGCUCAUCACAUCCUGGGGCUGAAGUAGGUCCCAAGGGUAUGGCUGUUCGCCAUUUAAAGUGGUACGCGAGCUGGGUUUAGAACGUCGUGAGACAGUUCGGUCCCUAUCUGCCGUGGGCGCUGGAGAAUUGAGGGGGGCUGCUCCUAGUACGAGAGGACCGGAGUGGACGCAUCACUGGUGUUCGGGUUGUCAUGCCAAUGGCAUUGCCCGGUAGCUAAAUGCGGAAGAGAUAAGUGCUGAAAGCAUCUAAGCACGAAACUUGCCCCGAGAUGAGUUCUCCCUGACUCCUUGAGAGUCCUGAAGGAACGUUGAAGACGACGACGUUGAUAGGCCGGGUGUGUAAGCGCAGCGAUGCGUUGAGCUAACCGGUACUAAUGAACCGUGAGGCUUAACCUUACAACGCCGAAG